UAGGGAAUCUUCCACAAUGGGCGAAAGCCUGAUGGAGCAACGCCACGUGGGUGAAGAAGGUCUUCGGAUCGUAAAACCCUGUUGUUAGAGAAGAAAGUGCGUGAGAGUAACUGUUCACGUUUCGACGGUAUCUAACCAGAAAGCCACGGCUAACUACGUGCCAGCAGCCGCGGUAAUACGUAGGUGGCAAGCGUUAUCCGGAUUUAUUGGGCGUAAAGGGAACGCAGGCGGUCUUUUAAGUCUGAUGUGAAAGCCUUCGGCUUAACCGGAGUAGUGCAUUGGAAACUGGGAGACUUGAGUGCAGAAGAGGAGAGUGGAACUCCAUGUGUAGCGGUGAAAUGCGUAGAUAUAUGGAAGAACACCAGUGGCGAAAGCGGCUCUCUGGUCUGUAACUGACGCUGAGGUUCGAAAGCGUGGGUAGCAAACAGG
RNAcentral lists this ribosomal RNA (429 nucleotides) under uncultured bacterium. RNAcentral's name for it is "bacterial SSU rRNA". It matches the Rfam family "Bacterial small subunit ribosomal RNA", at positions 355 to 776 of the family's 1533-position model. The record is from RNAcentral.